This 216-nucleotide ribosomal RNA is filed under the name uncultured fungus. RNAcentral describes it as "partial small subunit ribosomal RNA". The stretch from base 92 to 216 matches the Rfam family "Eukaryotic small subunit ribosomal RNA", at positions 738 to 864 of the family's 1831-position model. The record is from RNAcentral. Lineage: Eukaryota; Fungi.
GACCUGGCUGGGCGGUCCGCCUCACGGCGAGUACUGUCUGGCCGGGCCUUACCUCUUGGUGAACCGGCGUGCCCUUUAUUGGCGUGCGUCGGGGAACCAGGACUUUUACCUUGAGAAAAUUAGAGUGUUCAAAGCAGGCCUAUGCCCGAAUACAUUAGCAUGGAAUAAUAGAAUAGGACGUGUGGUUCUAUUUUGUUGGUUUCUAGAACUGCCGUA